Molecule: ribosomal RNA, 381 nt
Filed under: uncultured Thiobacillus sp.
Lineage: Bacteria; Pseudomonadati; Pseudomonadota; Betaproteobacteria; Nitrosomonadales; Thiobacillaceae
Description: bacterial SSU rRNA
Rfam family: Bacterial small subunit ribosomal RNA
Source: RNAcentral
GCCAGAGAUGGCUUGGUGCCCGAAAGGGAAUCGGAACACAGGUGCUGCAUGGCUGUCGUCAGCUCGUGUCGUGAGAUGUUGGGUUAAGUCCCGCAACGAGCGCAACCCUUAUCAUUAGUUGCUACGCAAGGGCACUCUAAUGAGACUGCCGGUGACAAACCGGAGGAAGGUGGGGAUGACGUCAAGUCCUCAUGGCCCUUAUGGGUAGGGCUUCACACGUCAUACAAUGGUCGGGUACAGAGGGUUGCCAAGCCGCGAGGCGGAGCCAAUCCCACAAAGACCGAUCGUAGUCCGGAUUGUUCUCUGCAACUCGAGAGCAUGAAGUCGGAAUCGCUAGUAAUCGCAGGUCAGCAUACUGCGGUGAAUACGUUCCCGGGUCUU